Long non-coding RNA from Marmota monax (woodchuck), 1016 nucleotides. RefSeq lists it as uncharacterized. The record is from RefSeq and is a predicted model, not a curated record. The transcript is spliced from 3 exons. NCBI's taxonomy places the organism in Eukaryota, Metazoa, Chordata, Mammalia, Rodentia, Sciuridae.
AGACAGAAGGUCCGUGGUGUGCGGAUGACGGUACGCACAUGAGACUAGGUGUCUGCAGGGUGUGUGGCAGGGGCCAUGUGAGGCUCAAGGAGCACCUGCCCUCUUCACUGGAGCCCUGCUUGCAGCAUCCUUCUGCCUGGUGACUGCCCACCCCAGCUCUCAGAGGGCAGAGGGUGCCCCGCUACCCGCCAGCACCCUGGGCACAGCAAGCAGGUGCUGGUACAGAGGAAGGAAGUACUUACUGAGCAGCGUCCUCCUUCGGCCAAUGGGCGAUGGGUGCUGUGGCAUGCCCGCUCCUCCUCCUGUUUUCUUCGAAUUCGUUCUUCGAGGUCAGCCCCACGCCCAAGGAUGAUGCAAACUACAGCCUCGGCCUUCUUGGGGAGAGUGGGAAGCAAGAGGGUUCCUGCCAUCUUCAGGAGCCUGGGCCCAGGGUAAGAGGGAGAAGCUGCAAGCCAGACCUGCAGAGGCCCUGGUCCCUCUUCCCAGGAGGCACCAGCUCUGCAGGACACUGAGGUCUGGGGCUGAGGGGAGCAAGACAUCUUCCCUGUUGAGUGCCCUUCCCGCCCUCUCGCUGGGGCUGUUGGGACAUCUGUGAGCGGAAACCACUGGGCUCUGGGCACAGAGCCAGACCCAGGCUGGCAGCCCCGAGAUUGUGGUUCCAGCCCCAGGACUAGCAUCCCCCAGCCCAGCACUCCCUGUCUUCAAUCCCUCAGCAGGCACCUGCUACCAGCCUCACAUCCUAGGUCUCCCACCCACAGGCAGAUCCUGCUCUGCAGACAGGGUCCUUUAGGGGAAACUGGACACUUGGAGCAAGAGAAAAAGAACAUCAGGUUUCAAGCUUUCUGAGCUGCUAUGUAGCCUGACAUAAGUCACUUAACCUGUCUGGGUCCCAGAAACCCAACCUGAGGAAGUCAAAAGCAAAUUUCCCAGCCCACCUCACAGGGCUGCUGCCAUCAUGGACAUAAAAGGCAAAAUCUUUUGAAGGAAAAAGAAAAGACGAAACUCUAAUUCCAAGU